UAAUACCAGCCCCGCGAGUGGUCGGGGUGUUUAUUGGGCCUAAAGCGGCCGUAGCCGGCCCGGUAAGUCCUCCCUGAAAGCCCUAGGCUCAACCUGGGGAGCGGGAGGAUACUGCCGGGCUAGAGGGCGGGAGAGGCCGAGGGUACUCCCGGGGUAGGGGCGAAAUCCUGUAAUCCCGGGAGGACCACCAGUGGCGAAGGCGCUCGGCUGGAACGCGCCUGACGGUGAGGGCCNAAAGCCGGGGGAGCGAACCGGAUUAGAUACCCGGGUAGUCCCGGCUGUAAACGAUGCGGGCUAGGUGUUAGGCGGGCGGGAGAGCCCGCCUAGUACCGCAGGGAAGCCGNUNNUNNUCGCCGCCUGGGGAGUACGGCCGCAAGGCUGAAACUUAAAGGAAUUGGCGGGGGAGCACACAAGGGGUGGAGCCUGCGGCUUAAUUGGAGUCAACGCCGGG
RNAcentral lists this ribosomal RNA (451 nucleotides) under uncultured crenarchaeote. Its description in RNAcentral is "bacterial SSU rRNA". It matches the Rfam family "Archaeal small subunit ribosomal RNA", at positions 471 to 922 of the family's 1478-position model. Lineage: Archaea; Thermoproteati; Thermoproteota. The record is from RNAcentral.